Paramormyrops kingsleyae is the source of this 2399-nucleotide non-coding RNA. The record is from RefSeq and is a predicted model, not a curated record. Lineage: Eukaryota; Metazoa; Chordata; Actinopteri; Osteoglossiformes; Mormyridae.
GAAGUUAUACUGCCAUCACUCCGCCCCAAAUUUUUUCAACACCAUCAUAGAUACUUUUUGCGUAAAUCUAGGUUUUAUGUAUGUUGAGAAGAGCCAAAGUCAGGCACAUUGAAUCUCGGAUUCAGGGUCACUGUCAGGAUGUGUCAAAACUUCAAACACGCCCGUACGCAUCAUUUUAAUCAAACCGUUGCCAAUCACGACAUUUGAGUCUGCAGCCAUUGAAGUCAGACCCAAAGGAGACGAUGUCAUGCCCCACUGUAAGCAGGGAUACGGCCUGGAUCAGCUCAUCGCGGCUGUGUCAUGGAGGUGGCCUGAGCCGCACACCAAAAGGGUGUAAAACGGAGGCUUUGGGAAAGCACAGAUUCACUGGAUCCAUUAUUACUGACAGCUUUACCCCAAGUUCCCAUGAGCCCAAAACCAUGUGACGCUCUGGGACUUAGGAUAUUAACAUGUAAAUCCAGGAACCUCAUAUAUUGUCCAAAAAAAGCUCGGUUUUUGUAGAAUGUAUUAUACAAAAUAAAACAAGACCUCAUGUACGUCCAAGCUACUAUUUCCCGCAAAUAUUUCAUCUGAGAGCACAGAUAUAUUACUGAAAUUUAUUUCUGAUUUCGUCGUGGCAGAUAAAAUCGCCAGAAAAGUUGUUCCAGUUGGAUCUGGAGAGUUUUAGCACUACGCACGGUGCUGAAGGACCUGAAGGUCCAAUACGAACCUCUUCCGACCCCCAUCCCAUCUCCAUGGAAACGCUAAUAUUUUCAUCCUGCUGGUCUCCUUGCAUUGCUAGAGAGAUGCCAGAUCUCUGUUGUUUUUGGAGUCGGGCCUGGUUUGGCCUGAAAAGGAGCAGAGUCUUGAGCCAUAACAGAGAACACUUGGAAAUUCCUGGAGCGAAGUGAAGGGGAAUGAAUGCUGACGCUUUUCGUGUGGUUUUUUGAAAUCUGUGCACAUUGUUUAAGAUCCCGAGGUGAACAUCGCCCCGUGGAUGUGCAGCUUUGCUUUGCCUGGCAGAUCCCGAGGUGAACAUCGCCCCGUGGAUGUGCAGCUUUGCUUUGCCUGGCAGAUCUCGAGGUGAACAUCGCCCCGUGGAUGUGCAGCUUUGCUUUGCCUGGCAGAUCCCGAGGUGAACAUCGGCCCGUGGAUGUGCAGCUUUGCUUUGCUUGGCAGAUCCCGAGGUGAACAUCAGCCCGUGGAUGUGCAGCUUUCUUUUGCCUGGCAGAUCCCGAGGUGAACAUCGCCCCAUGGAUGUGCAGCCUCUGGUCCUCCGGUUUCCUGAAACGUUCUCCGGGCAGACAAAUUAGGUGAGGUUCUCGCUGAGCUAAUUAUGGAGGAAUUUGGGUGUAUGGGUGCUCUCCAAAUCAGUCUCUAUGAAGUCGCGUCAUGUGGCACUGGUGGUGGGGGUUUACAGGGACAAAGGAAUCUUUAUGAGCAGAAACUACAGAAAUAACACAGUCCUGUUGGAAUAAAAGCUGGUGUCUGGAGCCUCUAUACUGACUAGCUUUGUGCCUUCUAUAUGCCAGUAGCCCACAGCUCACAUGGUGCUUACAUUUGCUCGUGGAAACACCCCCCCCCCCCCCACAGGUCCACCCUUUCCUGGCGUCUCCAUGUACAACUGACAUCAUUUCGCUUUCCUUUAACAAACAUACCACACAGCACAACAUUGUUUUCGCUGCCUCCCGCCAUUUGCCUCGAAUGCUCCAGCGAGGGGGCAAUUUAAAACAUUUAUGUAAAUGGUCUGGCACACGUCGGAAUGUUCUGUCAAAUGGGCCGUACAAGAAUGGCAGUAAGAGCCGUACCUGUGGGAGAACUGGUAUUACUACGGCAAGAAUUUCCAUUCUGGGGGGAGAACUGGUAUUCGCAAGAAUUUACAUCUUGCCCGGUUUUAGAUGGCAUCUCGAAUACAGCCACAAAAUAACACCAAAUAUUGCUCUGAUUAUGACGUCUUUUCCUCAGGAGCUGAGUUGCAGCCAAACCACCUAAGAAGUGAAAUCAAGGUUUUUUAGAUUGACUGUUCUUUUUUUUUGGGGGGGGGGUUACCGGCAGGUGCAAAGCGUUCCUCUGUCAUCUUUGACAGCCACGGCAGACACUGUGGGUUUACACCAAACCUCCAGAGAAAUAAAAACCUUCUAGGAGCCUUGUCUUCUGGCAGAGCUUCACCAGCCACAUCGCUAUCCAGGCAUCCCAAACAGGGACGAGAUCACUCUGGAAUGGCUUGCAUGCUGUAGCAGUUACACACUUAACAAAUUUCUCUUCUGCUGGAUUCUGGACAUUCUGCUACUUGACAUCUAGAGAAUGUAGCCAGGAGGAACUCGAACGUCGUCGUAAAGCAUGACAGCCAAGAAAGCGCAUUGCAAGUGUCUGCUUUUUAUAUAAAAGGAAUGAGCCAUUAAACAGAUAUUUUAAAAGUU